This 374-nucleotide ribosomal RNA is filed under the name uncultured organism. RNAcentral's name for it is "partial 16S ribosomal RNA". It matches the Rfam family "Bacterial small subunit ribosomal RNA", at positions 527 to 896 of the family's 1533-position model. The record is from RNAcentral.
GUAGGUGGCAAGCGUUGUCCGGAAUUAUUGGGCGUAAAGCGCGCGCAGGCGGUUCUUUAAGUCUGAUGUGAAAGCCCACGGGCUCAACCGUGGAGGGUCAUUGGAAACUGGAGAACUUGAGUACAGAAGAGGAAAGCGGAACUCCACGUGUAGCGGUGAAAUGCGUAGAGAUGUGGAGGAACACCAGUGGCGAAGGCGGCUUUCUGGUCUGUAACUGACGCUGAGGCGCGAAAGCGUGGGGAGCAAACAGGAUUAGAUACCCUGGUAGUCCACGCCGUAAACGAUGAGUGCUAAGUGUUACGGGGGUUUCCGCCCCUUAGUGCUGCAGCUAACGCAUUAAGCACUCCGCCUGGGGAGUACGGCCGCAAAGGCUG